Molecule: long non-coding RNA, 964 nt
Organism: Alosa sapidissima (American shad)
Lineage: Eukaryota; Metazoa; Chordata; Actinopteri; Clupeiformes; Clupeidae
Exons: 3
Source: RefSeq, a predicted model, not a curated record
AGUAUCCACAUAGUGGGUGAUUAAUCAAGAGGCGCUUGCAAUGACUUCUGGUUAAUGGUUAUAAAUAUACUGUGUGUAAAACAUAUUUUAAUAAUGACGAUAAAUAAUAACGAUUACUUCUAUAAAGUGUGUGGCCGUUUUCAUUUCAAUUUGUUUUACUAAUGCAUACGCACACGUGUCAAACUUCCUCUUCUCUCUCUCUCUCUCUUUCUCUGGGUGUACACAAUUCUGGGCUCAUUUGAACGUUCCAGAGACCGACUUGCCUGUGUGUGUCAGUGUAAAAGAGAGUAUUCACCAGGAUAUGUGUGUUGCUUCCACAGAUGAAAGCUUUUACUGGACUUGUCCUACUGUUUACAUCGACUUAUGGUCUGGACUCCAUGUGUGAUGCUACUCAGGAUGCUGCAUGUCAACCCUGCAGAGAGGAGAGACGCAGGAACAUACAGAGUGGAGAUCACUGAGGAGGCAACAGGGAAAACAGUGGGAGAUCACACAGUACAGCUGAUUAUAGAAGCUCCCGUGUCUGAUGUGGACCUGUCAAUCAGCUGCUCAGCCAAUGGGGAGAGGAGUGUAAGGUGCUCCUCCAAUGGAGACAGUCCUCAGUUCAGCUGGUCUCUGGAUGGGAGGCCUCUGUGUGAAGCUGAUGUUGAUCUCAGUUCAGAUAACCAGACUCUCCUGAUGAGGGGGGAUGUGACUGGACAACUCACCUGCAGCGUCAGGAACCACGUCAGCAGCAAACACACCAGAGUGAUUUACAGUAAUCAUGAUUACCUCUGUAAGAUUUUGUAAAGAUUUUGCUAAUGACCUUUAAAUGCUUGAAUGGUCAAGCCCCCAGCUAUCUCUCUGACCUAUUACAUAAAUACUCCCUGUAAGAAAUCUCUGACUGCUGACUGUUCUCAAAACUAAAUGUAAAUGCUUUUGCUGCUACUACCCCCAAACUCUGGAAUAAACCCCACCCCACACAUUA